This 2906-nucleotide ribosomal RNA is filed under the name Enterobacter hormaechei. RNAcentral describes it as "23S ribosomal RNA". It matches the Rfam family "Bacterial large subunit ribosomal RNA". The record is from RNAcentral. Lineage: Bacteria; Pseudomonadati; Pseudomonadota; Gammaproteobacteria; Enterobacterales; Enterobacteriaceae.
GGUUAAGCGACUAAGCGUACACGGUGGAUGCCCUGGCAGUCAGAGGCGAUGAAGGACGUGCUAAUCUGCGAAAAGCGCCGGCGAGGUGAUAUGAACCUUUGACCCGGCGAUGUCCGAAUGGGGAAACCCAGUGUGUUUCGACACACUAUCGUUAACUGAAUACAUAGGUUAACGAGGCGAACCGGGGGAACUGAAACAUCUAAGUACCCCGAGGAAAAGAAAUCAACCGAGAUUCCCCCAGUAGCGGCGAGCGAACGGGGAGCAGCCCGGAGUCUGAAUCAGUUUGUGUGUUAGUGGAACGGUCUGGAAAGUCCGACGGUACAGGGUGAUAGUCCCGUACACGAAAAUGCACAUGCUGUGAACUCGAAGAGUAGGGCGGGACACGUGGUAUCCUGUCUGAAUAUGGGGGGACCAUCCUCCAAGGCUAAAUACUCCUGACUGACCGAUAGUGAACCAGUACCGUGAGGGAAAGGCGAAAAGAACCCCGGCGAGGGGAGUGAAAAAGAACCUGAAACCGUGUACGUACAAGCAGUGGGAGCCUCUUUAUGGGGUGACUGCGUACCUUUUGUAUAAUGGGUCAGCGACUUAUAUUCUGUAGCAAGGUUAACCGUAUAGGGGAGCCGAAGGGAAACCGAGUCUUAACUGGGCGUUAAGUUGCAGGGUAUAGACCCGAAACCCGGUGAUCUAGCCAUGGGCAGGUUGAAGGUUGGGUAACACUAACUGGAGGACCGAACCGACUAAUGUUGAAAAAUUAGCGGAUGACCUGUGGCUGGGGGUGAAAGGCCAAUCAAACCGGGAGAUAGCUGGUUCUCCCCGAAAGCUAUUUAGGUAGCGCCUCGUGAACUCAUCUUCGGGGGUAGAGCACUGUUUCGGCUAGGGGGCCAUCCCGGCUUACCAACCCGAUGCAAACUACGAAUACCGAAGAAUGUUAUCACGGGAGACACACGGCGGGUGCUAACGUCCGUCGUGAAGAGGGAAACAACCCAGACCGCCAGCUAAGGUCCCAAAGUCAUGGUUAAGUGGGAAACGAUGUGGGAAGGCACAGACAGCCAGGAUGUUGGCUUAGAAGCAGCCAUCAUUUAAAGAAAGCGUAAUAGCUCACUGGUCGAGUCGGCCUGCGCGGAAGAUGUAACGGGGCUAAACCAUGCACCGAAGCUGCGGCAGCGACGCUUAUGCGUUGUUGGGUAGGGGAGCGUUCUGUAAGCCGUUGAAGGUGGCCUGUGAGGGUUGCUGGAGGUAUCAGAAGUGCGAAUGCUGACAUAAGUAACGAUAAAGCGGGUGAAAAGCCCGCUCGCCGGAAGACCAAGGGUUCCUGUCCAACGUUAAUCGGGGCAGGGUGAGUCGACCCCUAAGGCGAGGCCGAAAGGCGUAGUCGAUGGGAAACAGGUUAAUAUUCCUGUACUUGGUGUUACUGCGAAGGGGGGACGGAGAAGGCUAUGUCAGCCGGGCGACGGUUGUCCCGGUUUAAGCAUGUAGGCGGAGGUUCCAGGUAAAUCCGGUACCUUGUUAACGCUGAGGUGUGAUGACGAGGCACUACGGUGCUGAAGUGAUAAAUGCCCUGCUUCCAGGAAAAGCCUCUAAGCAUCAGGUAACACGAAAUCGUACCCCAAACCGACACAGGUGGUCAGGUAGAGAAUACCAAGGCGCUUGAGAGAACUCGGGUGAAGGAACUAGGCAAAAUGGUGCCGUAACUUCGGGAGAAGGCACGCUGAUAUGUAGGUGAAGCCCCUGCGGGCGGAGCUGAAAUCAGUCGAAGAUACCAGCUGGCUGCAACUGUUUAUUAAAAACACAGCACUGUGCAAACACGAAAGUGGACGUAUACGGUGUGACGCCUGCCCGGUGCCGGAAGGUUAAUUGAUGGGGUUAGCGGCAACGCGAAGCUCUUGAUCGAAGCCCCGGUAAACGGCGGCCGUAACUAUAACGGUCCUAAGGUAGCGAAAUUCCUUGUCGGGUAAGUUCCGACCUGCACGAAUGGCGUAAUGAUGGCCAGGCUGUCUCCACCCGAGACUCAGUGAAAUUGAACUCGCUGUGAAGAUGCAGUGUACCCGCGGCAAGACGGAAAGACCCCGUGAACCUUUACUAUAGCUUGACACUGAACACUGGUCCUUGAUGUGUAGGAUAGGUGGGAGGCUUUGAAGCGUGGACGCCAGUCUGCGUGGAGCCGCCCUUGAAAUACCACCCUUUAAUGGCUGGUGUUCUAACGUAGACCCGUAAUCCGGGUUGCGGACAGUGUCUGGUGGGUAGUUUGACUGGGGCGGUCUCCUCCCAAAGAGUAACGGAGGAGCACGAAGGUUGGCUAAUCCUGGUCGGACAUCAGGAGGUUAGUGCAAUGGCAUAAGCCAGCUUGACUGCGAGCGUGACGGCGCGAGCAGGUGCGAAAGCAGGUCAUAGUGAUCCGGUGGUUCUGAAUGGAAGGGCCAUCGCUCAACGGAUAAAAGGUACUCCGGGGAUAACAGGCUGAUACCGCCCAAGAGUUCAUAUCGACGGCGGUGUUUGGCACCUCGAUGUCGGCUCAUCACAUCCUGGGGCUGAAGUAGGUCCCAAGGGUAUGGCUGUUCGCCAUUUAAAGUGGUACGCGAGCUGGGUUUAGAACGUCGUGAGACAGUUCGGUCCCUAUCUGCCGUGGGCGCUGGAGAAUUGAGGGGGGCUGCUCCUAGUACGAGAGGACCGGAGUGGACGCAUCACUGGUGUUCGGGUUGUCAUGCCAAUGGCACUGCCCGGUAGCUAAAUGCGGAAGAGAUAAGUGCUGAAAGCAUCUAAGCACGAAACUUGCCCCGAGAUGAGUUCUCCCUGAGACUUUAAGUCUCCUGAAGGAACGUUAAAGACGAUGACGUUGAUAGGUCGGGUGUGUAAGCGCAGCGAUGCGUUGAGCUAACCGAUACUAAUGAACCGUGAGGCUUAACCUU